UACUGACCUUAAUUCAGCUUCACUAACUCUAUUCAUCUCUUCAAUUAUUUCAUUCUUCAAGUUCUCUAUUUAUUCUCCUGUGAAUUUUUUCCUCUACCAUCAGUACUGUUUAAUUCACUUUCACUCUCUUUAAUUUACUAUAAUGCCUCGGAAAAGAAAAUAUCCCAAAUCUGCUCGGAGCACAAGGAAUAUCAGCAAAAGAAGGUUAAAAUUGAUAGUGAUGAGGCCCAUAUGAUCAAGUCUGAUAGUGCUCCUAGCAGUUUAGGUGAUGAUGAUAUUAAUGUCUUUGCUCAUGAUAGUAAUAAAAUUGCUCUUGAUAAAAGUAAUUGUGCUUCAGAUAGUACUAGUGGUAAUGGUAGUAAUCAUAAUAUUAUAAGAAAGAAACAAAAACUCACCAGGCAGCAAAAAAUGAAGGAAAAAAAAC
This is a long non-coding RNA of Amphimedon queenslandica, 424 nucleotides long. RefSeq lists it as uncharacterized. The transcript has 3 exons. Lineage: Eukaryota; Metazoa; Porifera; Demospongiae; Haplosclerida; Niphatidae. The record is from RefSeq and is a predicted model, not a curated record.